Limulus polyphemus (Atlantic horseshoe crab) is the source of this 2133-nucleotide long non-coding RNA. RefSeq lists it as uncharacterized. The record is from RefSeq and is a predicted model, not a curated record. The transcript is spliced from 4 exons. NCBI's taxonomy places the organism in Eukaryota, Metazoa, Arthropoda, Merostomata, Xiphosura, Limulidae.
ACACAUGGAAGUAUUUUCGUGGUGUUGCUUAGUUCUAAGAGUGUUAAACGAAAACCCUGACCAAGUUUCUGUCAUCGUUUUGGCAAAGCUUUCGUCUGAGGCUUCUUUCGAAAGGUGUGACGAACACCUUCAUUGGACUAAUGAUCGCAAUGUUAACGCUACUUGUUGGGUUUAAAGUUAAAAUUUUCUCGCGUAUUUUAGCUUGCUCGUGAGUUUUCCUCGUCGACCGUGAUCGAGAGCGUACGACCGCGUGCCCUAGUGUAGAGUGCUGUGUGUCAGUGUCGAGGUCUGGUCUACCUGAUGAAGUGUAAAGUCUAAUGGUAACACAAUUUUAAAACGUGAUAGAUAUAACGAGGUGUAGUUAAGUAUCGUAAACACUGAAAUUCUGUGAAAAGACAUUGUGAAAAACUAAAGAAUACUACAUAUACUUUUUGUGAUUCACUUGAAAUUAGUUUCCUGUUACGUGGGAUGAGGAGAUCAGUUCUAUACAAUGAGAGAAGGAACGUGUAUGGAUUCACCACUGUUUACUGGCCACCAUACAAAAAGGACGAAGGACUCAGAAGAAGAUUUCGUAGCAGGGCCGUACCGAUCGUUGAUGGCUCUGCUCCCCUCCUUAAAAAUUCCAUCUACCCUUGCCUUCAAAGAUGCAAACUCGCGAGCGCCCUGUGAGGGCGCACCACUCGCACUACCCUUGGUACGGCCAUGUUUUAAAACAGAAACGACGUUUCGAUCAUUCUCGAGUUCACAGAUUUUAACGAUUGACCGUUCAGCACAUACGGAGACUGAGGAAUCGCAAAAAAAUGAAUAACCUUUCUGUAAUCUGCUCUUGAAAAGAAGCAUUUUGAUAUAUAAUAUUCUUUUACUAUUAAUUGUUCAAGAGAUUCAGAGCAUGACAGACAAACAGAUAUUUGGCUAUUAUAUAUAGAGAUAAAAGAUUGUGUUAUACUUAAAACGUGGUUUUGUGUUCAGCCUAGUCGCGUACACUUUUUUUUUUUAAAUUACUUCAAACUUGAAGCCCGCAAGUUUUGUGUUACUUUGGUGCAUAGUUUUGGAAAAAAAACAAUAUUAGUGAUUUUAUAUCAGACUCAGAUAAUGAAGUUUUCCAUUUUCAGUCCUUCUCUGAUUUGUUAUCUAAUUUUCAUGUAACUUUGUUACUUAGUUUGAUAAAUCAAACCAUUUGCUUUAUUUUACGACAAGUUUGAAUGGAUAUAUAUAUAUAUAAAUAUAAUUCUCUAGUAAUCACCGUUAAGCUGUAAAAUUACCUUUUUAUAUUACCAAGGGCACAGUCUUGAUAUUUGCCAGACGCCUGUCGUUCUUGAUCUCAUUAGCAAGAAACAGAACAACGUUCGUGCAAAAUUUUCGAAAUUUAACUGUCUGGUAUUUGGUAGUUUCUAUAUUUGCGAUCCUCCCAUGUGAUAAAAAAAGCUUUCAAACGAGUGUCAGAUAACCAGAGGGCUCCAACCUUAUGUUGAAAUAUUAUAUCAUCUCUAUUGGUAAUUUUAGCUCGUACCCAAAGAUGAUCAGUAAUAUGGAGAACUGUGGCGCCAUGGUCAAAUGUUAAAUCAUGUAUACCAGUUUUCUUAUUGAAGAUCUACGAAGUUAGUAGAACAAUAUAAUUAAAUAAUUUGGUCGCUGGAUAUUUAUCAGAAUAACAUAACGUAAAAACAUUAGUCUUUGUGAUAAAAUAGUAGUUCUCCUCAUUGUACGGCAAUGGUCUUGUCCAAGUCCGAUAAAUGAAUUUUCGUACUUGCCACCAGAUGGCAGUAUUUAGUAGAAUUUUUAGUUAUUUGAAUUAUGAUUGCAUGUUUUGUAAGUGACACUGAUGAACAACACUACAUUAUUUAGUUGUUGAUUUCUUUUAUUCGCCGAAACGUGAAUUUCGGUGAAGAUGACGUAGAGACCUUAACCGUUGUUUGAUUCGCUACUUCUGCUGCAAUAGACUAGCUUUGCUGAAUUAACAACUAAAUAAAUAACUAAAUAAAUAAAUCCGUUGAAUGAUAAUGGAUAAUCAAUUGCGACAGUUUGUGAUAUGUUGUCCAAACACCUAAAAUAUUUUGGGUUAUUAGUGGUGAGUAAAAACUAUACAUCAAAACCAAAGAAGAAGAAGAACAACAACAACAACAAAAACCACAU